GGAGGGUCACGGAGUACGGGGCGGUGGGGGACGGCAAGACGCUCAACACGGCGGCGUUCGCCAGGUUCGUCCUGUUCUUGGAUUUUCGCUUGCUUCUUUGUUUCUUCUUUUUGACCGAGCAGGUGAGCUGAUUUUGGAUUUGUCAUCCUAGUUUCUGCAGCUGUUGGAGGAGGACUUGGUGGUGCUAAGGAGUGGAGUACUGCAAGGACGGACGCCGCUUCCGUUGAACUCAGGUGAGCUUGCGAAUCCGCGACAGCCUUGGUGAUUUUACUGUUACUGCUACUCUAUUAGUCGUGGAAUUCGGGAGAGCUUGGGUUCGAAUUUUGUUUUCUGGGAUUUUUAUCGGGGUAUAUGCAACUGUAUAACUUUAAAUUGGCUUGCCCCUGGGUGUUCUUGGUUGGUGAUUCGGCAAUGAUUUGAAGCGGUCUGGCUUAUCAGCCGGUGGUUAGGUGGAGCGGGGUUAUUAUAGUUUCGGUACAGGAGGGGGAAAGGUGGCACAAAUCUGGGGGUAGGGCAUGUUUCUGCCUGAUUGAUCCAAUCAUUUUUUUUCUUCUGGUAUCAAUCAAUCAUGCCAGCAUCUGAAACGGAUUAUCAAAUCUGAAUUGGCACUGUUUUUUGUAUAUAAUGAUACCAUACAACUCGAGAUGAACAUAUGCUUGACUGAAUAGCUGUUCAUACAUCUGGAGGUGUUACCAUGAGUACAAUUACCAUUCAGAAAGAAAAAAACUAUGAGUAAAAUGCAGAGAACACACUUCCAGACUAUCAAUCAUGCAUGCCCAUAUCAUUUGCUUUGCUUAAUGUUUCUUAGUUUAACUUACUAAUCUCUUGUCUGUGUAUUUUUUGCUGCCACAGGGGAUCCAAAUAGGUUGCAACUAGGAGUAAAAUAUGUGUCUAAACUGAUCGGCUGGUGCGAAAAUCGACGACCAAGAUCCAGUUAUGUGUAUUGCAGGACAACACCUUUCAUUAGAUACACUUUGAUGCUAUUUCUAGCAUGAAUUUCUAUUUCAGACUUAAAACUAAAAUUCUGAACAACUAAAAUCGCUCUUGUUCCUUAUUUUUGUAGGGCGGUUCCUCUCGUUUUACUGGUUCGUCCGCUCCUUCAUGAUUGAUGUACUGGUUCUGGCCGCUCCUUCGUGAUAGACUCGGUUAACUCUUUGUUAGCCUUGUGGGUCGUAAUUCUUUCUCUCCAGACGCAUAUACUGCCUGAUGUAUUGCUCAUGCUCAUUCUGUACCAAGAUAGACCUAAUAUCCGUAGGGUUGUAGAUUGAUUUCCCCUGAAAAUGCUAUGCUUCUUUCCUUGGAUGAUAAGCAUGUUCCGCAGCUAUGUGGAAUUCUUAAGAUAAACGGUCUUUAGUUUCUUUUGGUGCAUCUGCGUGCACAUAACAGUCUGUUAGUUUCUCAGUCUGUUAGUUUCUCUUUAUAUAAUGAAAAAAAUAUGUUGUUGUCUCUUGUUUAUUAUUAUCUAUCAUUUGUAGAUUGAUUUUUAGGCCACCAGUACUUGUAUGUAUAAUUUCUAGUCUCUUGAAUGAAUAAUUUUUCUUUAUGUCUCAUGCGUCUUGUGCUACUACUUACUACAUACAUCUGUCGUGAAGUACAUGGUUCCGGAACUAUGGUAACCCGUAGUUUGCUCUACCCGUGAUAGUAGGAUGAUGGAAGCAUCACUACUGAAUGUAGUUCAUGUUUCUUCAUAUAAUCAUCAUUUACUAGAGUUUCUCUUCUUCCCGCUACUACUUGGUUUUUGAUGCCACUAGCUUGUACUGAAAUGUAAACACAUCAUAUUGUUUUCAUCAGACCAGUGUACCUUGAGCAUGCAAAGUAAACACAUGCUACUCCACUUAUCUAUUUGU
Molecule: long non-coding RNA, 1847 nt
Filed under: Triticum aestivum (bread wheat)
Lineage: Eukaryota; Viridiplantae; Streptophyta; Magnoliopsida; Poales; Poaceae
Description: long non-coding RNA (TAES_LNC011377)
Source: RNAcentral